This is a long non-coding RNA of Cervus elaphus (red deer), 502 nucleotides long. RefSeq lists it as uncharacterized. NCBI's taxonomy places the organism in Eukaryota, Metazoa, Chordata, Mammalia, Artiodactyla, Cervidae. The record is from RefSeq and is a predicted model, not a curated record. The transcript has 3 exons.
ACUGGAAAGUAACGCAAGGUCACCAGGAAGGAAAAGGAAUUCACUGCUUGGUCACAGUCCUUCGUCUGGGCUGGGAGUCACUCAGACUUGGAUGCAUGUCUGACUUUGGCAGGCCUCCAGGGCGCUGCCCUCGCGGGAUGAAACACUGUGCUUGCAUGAUUUCUGUGUGGCUUCCUUUGGCUGCUCCAGUGACCCCGUCCUCUUCACAGUCAGCAACCCUCUGAAUCAGAUGAUGUUAAUAUCUUCAUUCUCAAGGAGAGGCUCUGAGAAGUUAAAUAACCUGUCAACAGUCACAAAGCAACUGUGUGGCAGAAUCAAGAGUGAACUGCAUCUAUCAUUCCUUCAUGAAACAGAAGAGUGAGACGUCUCUCGAGUGGCCUGGUGGACUCUGGAGAAGGCCUGGAAUGAGGAGUCAUCAUUGAGGGAGCGUAUUAGUGGUCUGUCACACUGCCUUGGCUAUUUGUGGUGGUCAUCCCACCAGUCCUCCUCUGUCAUGUACGGG